GACGAACGCUGGCGGCGUGCUUAACACAUGCAAGUCGAACGGAAAGGCCCUGCUUUUGUGGGGUGCUCGAGUGGCGAACGGGUGAGUAACACGUGAGUAACCUGCCCUUGACUUUGGGAUAACUUCAGGAAACUGGGGCUAAUACCGGAUAGGAGCUCCUGCUGCAUGGUGGGGGUUGGAAAGUUUCGGCGGUUGGGGAUGGACUCGCGGCUUAUCAGCUUGUUGGUGGGGUAGUGGCUUACCAAGGCUUUGACGGGUAGCCGGCAUGAGAGGGUGACCGGCCACAUUGGGACUGAGAUACGGCCCAGACUCCUACGGGGGGCAGCAGUGGGGAAUAUUGCACAAUGGGCGGAAGCCUGAUGCAGCAACGCCGCGUGCGGGAUGACGGCCUUCGGGUUGUAAACCGCUUUCGCCUGUGACGAAGCGUGAGUGACGGUAAUGGGUAAAGAAGCACCGGCUAACUACGUG
RNAcentral lists this ribosomal RNA (468 nucleotides) under uncultured bacterium. RNAcentral's name for it is "partial 16S ribosomal RNA". It matches the Rfam family "Bacterial small subunit ribosomal RNA", at positions 28 to 507 of the family's 1533-position model. The record is from RNAcentral.